AAAGAUACCAGGUGGAAACAACAAUGAAGAUGAGGAAGAUGUGGAAGAUAUCAAUGUUGGGGAAGAUGAUAUGAUGGAUGAUGUGUUGGGUGUUGAUGAUAAUAAUGGUAGGAGGGGAGAUGAAACAGCGAAAGCAGAGCCCGAUAACACUAGUCCAGUUCCUGAUAAUAAUGUUGAUCAGCUUUGAACCUUAGGCCGUAGGUCAGGUCAAUCUUUACUAGUAGGUCUUUUCUUUUUGGUUGUUUUAGCAUUCAUUUUGG
This 260-nucleotide long non-coding RNA is filed under the name Gossypium raimondii (Peruvian cotton). Its description in RNAcentral is "long non-coding RNA (GRAI_LNC000849)". Lineage: Eukaryota; Viridiplantae; Streptophyta; Magnoliopsida; Malvales; Malvaceae. The record is from RNAcentral.